Molecule: ribosomal RNA, 481 nt
Filed under: uncultured bacterium
Lineage: Bacteria
Description: bacterial SSU rRNA
Rfam family: Bacterial small subunit ribosomal RNA
Source: RNAcentral
GACGAACGCUGGCGGCGCGCUUAACACAUGCAAGUCGAGCGAGAACCACUCCUUCGGGAGUGGGGACAGCGGCGAACGGGUGAGUAACACGUGGGUAAUCUGCCCUCGAUUCUGGGAUAGCCCGGGGAAACCCGGAUUAAUACCGGAUAGCCUCUCGAGCUUUCGGGCUCGUGAGAAAAGGUAGCUUCGGCCUCCGAUCGAGGAUGAGCCCGCGGCGGAUUAGCUUGUUGGUGGGGUAAUGGCCUACCAAGGCGACGAUCCGUAGCUGGUCUGAGAGGACGAUCAGCCACACUGGGACUGAGACACGGCCCAGACUCCUACGGGAGGCAGCAGUGGGGAAUCUUGCCCAAUGGACGAAAGUCUGAGGCAGCGACGCCGCGUGAGGGAAGAAGGCCUUCGGGUUGUAAACCUCUUUCAGCAGGGACGAAGCCACUCGGGUUAAUAGCCCAGAGGGUGACGGUACCUGCAGAAGAAGCCCCGG